Molecule: transfer RNA, 70 nt
Filed under: Acropyga sauteri
Lineage: Eukaryota; Metazoa; Arthropoda; Insecta; Hymenoptera; Formicidae
Description: tRNA-Cys
Source: RNAcentral
AUCUUUAAUAGUUUAUAAAAAAUAUUAAAUUGCAAAUUUAAAGAAUUUUUAAAAUAAGAAAAUUAAGAUU